Camellia sinensis is the source of this 2213-nucleotide non-coding RNA. Lineage: Eukaryota; Viridiplantae; Streptophyta; Magnoliopsida; Ericales; Theaceae. The record is from RefSeq and is a predicted model, not a curated record.
UCUGAAACCACCAUCUCUGGUCUAUGGAACCACCUCUCUCUCUCUCUCUCUCAAAAAUACUCUCGCUUGCCUUUUCACGCACACGAGCACCUUCACCAUCAGCAGCGUCCUUCGCAACCACACCCUUCACCGCGACUGCGACUAACACCGACGACUACGACUAUCUAUUAAGUUCUCUCUCUCUCACUCGUUUGUUGCUCUCACUCUGCCCCUUUCCCUCUCCUUCUAAUUUUCAAAACCCUAACAAGUGAUUUUUGAAGGCUAGGGUUGGUCAAGGUCGUCUAUCUCCUAUGUGAUUUUGAUUUUGAUUUUGAUUCAAUUUGUUCAUUUCCAAGUUCUUUUUCUUUAAUUUAAUUUAUGUGCAAAUUAUGCACACCACCUGUUUGCUAAUAUGCCUCUGAAAAUAGAAAGUAUAAAAUCUGUUGGUGUCUCAACCAUGAAUAAAGAGGCAUUCUCACUACCAGCCACCAACAUUAAGCUAUAAAAUCUGGAAUAUAAAUUUAUACUCUGGGUCUAGUAACAUAUAAUGAACCUUACCAAGCUUAAACAAAAGAAAUAUAAUGCUGCUUUCAGAAGGUGUAGUAUAGCCAUCAGUUCAAGGUGGUGGUGAUUAUUAGGAAAUUGUUGAGACAUAGAAGGAGCUAGAAUUGAUUAGAAAGACCCAUAAAAUGUCUGCUAUCUUCUUUGAUAGUCAACUCAUUAAUUCCAUUAGUCCUGUAAAAAAAAUUUCCCUUUCUUUUUUUUUGUUUCUUAUUGAAAUAAUAUUGCAGUGUGCACCUUCUACCAGAAAGGAGUCUGUUCUUAUGGAAGCCAAUGCAGAUAUGAACAUGUUAAAGUUUUUCGAUCACAGUCCUCCACUGUAUCUUCUUCCACAAUUUCUCACCAAUUUUUGGUUUCUGAUUCAAUUUUUGGUCUCAUUCAUUCUGUAUAUCUUGUAUCAGGAAUUGGCAUGGCAGAGUAAUUCCUCAACCUCUGGAAUGGAUGCCAACUUUACAUUGAGGGCAUGCCCAAUAUGUAGAAAGGUUUCAUACUUUGUCAUUCCUAGUGUCAUUUGGUAUUCUACAAAAGAAGAAAAACAGGAAAUUGUUGACAGCUACAAAGCAAAACACAGAGCAGAUUUAACGGUUGAUUGCUUGUUUUGAAAUCCUCAUUGUGAUCCAAGUCAACCUUCCACUCAAAAGUAGAUUUUUUUGUGGGUUCUAUUCACAGAAGACAUAACUACCUUAAAUUGAAGUUUUGAACAGUUUUCAUGUCCAGUUGUUUUCGGCAAAAUGUCAAUUUUUGGGUAAAGCUUCUUGCCAUUGGUUGCUGAUAGAGGGGAGGAGAUUAGAAGUCGUGGAGAACAGACAUGGCCAUUUGCCUUUUACUGAGAAGCAAGUAGUCACUCCAACAGGUGUGUUUUAGGAGAAAAAUUAGUAGCAAGCCAUGGACUCAAUUCAAGUCUCUUCCUCUCUCUCUGAUGAAAUUUGGAAUACAAGUAGGCUACUUCCUUUUUAUCUCAAGUUUCCUUCAGUUCUCUGAAUUUAAACUGAGAACUUUACAUGCCUUCAAUUUUUAUUUGUUUGUGUUUUUUUACAUAUAUGAUUGUGUGUUUUCUCUUGCUAGCUUAUAAUUUAGUGUCUCCUGAUGGUGUCAAUUUUAUGAAAAGAUAUUCCUCUGCAUAUGGCUAAACUAGAUUUUUAAACUAGCUAUAAAUUGUUGGGAUUAACUUAUGCGGAGUAAUGACUGAUGACCGUGAAUGUUGUUUCAUUGGGGUGUGAUUCAUUCCUUUUUUGUCAUCUUUUUUGAAAGCAUGUAUUUCCUUCGCUUUUAGAAAGUGUACAUGAGAAUGAAAUAAUGUGGCCAGCUCACUUUUAGUCUUCUUACUCAUUUUCUUUCUUUCUUGUCGAAUAAUUUUGUAGUUUUCUGUGACAUCUAACAUUAACCAUUCAUGACAAAUUAGUGUUAACUUUAAACUUCAUUUAGAUAUUAACAUUUGGCAUCAUACUGUUCUCUUGUUUGUCUUUACUUUCAAUGUCAUAAAGAGGGAGUGCAUAUCCUUUUAUUGAAAAAGAAAACAGAAAAAAAAGGUAGUGGACUACUUACAUAUUUCUAUCUGCAGCAAAUUGGAACUGUUCACAUUUUUUUUCCCUUUUGGUACAUGUAACUGUUUUAUGUUGUAUUCUUAAGUUGCCUAUCCCAAAACAUAAAUUUGUUAAUUUGUUGGUAUACUA